AUUGAACGCUGGCGGCAUGCCUUACACAUGCAAGUCGAACGGUAACGGGCCUUCGGGCGCCGACGAGUGGCGAACGGGUGAGUAAUGCAUCGGAACGUACCUUCAGUGGGGGAUAACGUAGCGAAAGUUACGCUAAUACCGCAUAUUCUGUGAGCAGGAAAGCAGGGGAUCGCAAGACCUUGCGCUGAUUGAGCGGCCGAUGUCAGAUUAGCUAGUUGGUGAGGUAAAGGCUCACCAAGGCGACGAUCGGUAGCUGGUCUGAGAGGAUGAUCAGCCACACUGGGACUGAGACACGGCCCAGACUCCUACGGGAGGCAGCAGUGGGGAAUUUUGGACAAUGGGGGCAACCCUGAUCCAGCCAUGCCGCGUGCGGGAAGAAGGCCUUCGGGUUGUAAACCGCUUUUGUUCGGGAAGAAAAGGCACGUCCUAAUACGGCGUGUUCUUGACGGUACCGGAAGAAUAAGCACCGGCUAACUACGUG
Molecule: ribosomal RNA, 481 nt
Filed under: uncultured bacterium
Lineage: Bacteria
Description: bacterial SSU rRNA
Rfam family: Bacterial small subunit ribosomal RNA
Source: RNAcentral